RNAcentral lists this ribosomal RNA (253 nucleotides) under uncultured bacterium. RNAcentral's name for it is "partial 16S ribosomal RNA". It matches the Rfam family "Bacterial small subunit ribosomal RNA", at positions 524 to 776 of the family's 1533-position model. The record is from RNAcentral.
UACGUAGGGUGCAAGCGUUGUCCGGAAUUAUUGGGCGUAAAGGGCGCGUAGGCGGCGACUAAAGUCAGAUGUGAAAGCCCUGGGCUCAACCCAGGAAGUGCAUCUGAUACUGAGUUGCUUGAGUGCUGGAGAGGGUGGUGGAAUUCCUGGUGUAGAGGUGAAAUUCGUAGAUAUCAGGAGGAACACCGGUGGCGAAGGCGACCACCUGGACAGACACUGACGCUGAGGCGCGAAAGCGUGGGGAGCAAACAGG